GGCUGCAAACGUGCCUCUCGGUGUUUGGAGAGAACACACCAUUAAGUUUUCGCCUUCUUGGUUUGUGGCGGUCCAUGCUGCUGUGCCUUUCAUAGCCAUGCUCAGGAAAUCUGUGCUGAUGCCUAAAGCAGCCAUGGCUUUGACCAUUGGAGCGUCCAUCUUGGGACAGGUGAUUGGGUCAAGAGCUGAACGUUACCGUCUCAAAGCGUUGGCUGCUAAUACAGUUGCUGAAACAUCCACUGUUACCGCGGGUGAUGGAUACAAUGAGGUCUCUGAUGGUUCAGGCUUUGCUAAAGGACAUUGUGGUGCAGAAGGAGUGAAGCAGGUUUAUUACAAUGCGAAUGUUGGAGAAUCUGCUAAAUCAACUGGGC
This 371-nucleotide long non-coding RNA is filed under the name Brassica napus (rape). RNAcentral describes it as "long non-coding RNA (BNAP_LNC008196)". Lineage: Eukaryota; Viridiplantae; Streptophyta; Magnoliopsida; Brassicales; Brassicaceae. The record is from RNAcentral.